AAAUCGUACCCCAAACCGACACAGGUGGUCAGGUAGAGAAUACCAAGGCGCUUGAGAGAACUCGGGUGAAGGAACUAGGCAAAAUGGUGCCGUAACUUCGGGAGAAGGCACGCUGGUGUGUAGGUGAAGUCCCUGCGGAUGGAGCUGAGACCAGUCGAAGAUACCAGCUGGCUGCAACUGUUUAUUAAAAACACAGCACUGUGCAAACACGAAAGUGGACGUAUACGGUGUGACGCCUGCCCGGUGCCGGAAGGUUAAUUGAUGGGGUUAUCCGUAAGGAGAAGCUCUUGAUCGAAGCCCCGGUAAACGGCGGCCGUAACUAUAACGGUCCUAAGGUAGCGAAAUUCCUUGUCGGGUAAGUUCCGACCUGCACGAAUGGCGUAAUGAUGGCCAGGCUGUCUCCACCCGAGACUCAGUGAAAUUGAACUCGCUGUGAAGAUGCAGUGUACCCGCGGCAAGACGGAAAGACCCCGUGAACCUUUACUAUAGCUUGACACUGAACAUUGAGCCUUGAUGUGUAGGAUAGGUGGGAGGCUUUGAAGCGUGGACGCCAGUCUGCGUGGAGCCAACCUUGAAAUACCACCCUUUAAUGUUUGAUGUUCUAACGUUGGCCCCUAAUCGGGGUUGCGGACAGUGUCUGGUGGGUAGUUUGACUGGGGCGGUCUCCUCCCAAAGCGUAACGGAGGAGCACGAAGGUUAGCUAAUCCUGGUCGGACAUCAGGAGGUUAGUGCAAUGGCAUAAGCUAGCUUGACUGCGAGCGUGACGGCGCGAGCAGGUGCGAAAGCAGGUCAUAGUGAUCCGGUGGUUCUGAAUGGAAGGGCCAUCGCUCAACGGAUAAAAGGUACUCCGGGGAUAACAGGCUGAUACCGCCCAAGAGUUCAUAUCGACGGCGGUGUUUGGCACCUCGAUGUCGGCUCAUCACAUCCUGGGGCUGAAGUAGGUCCCAAGGGUAUGGCUGUUCGCCAUUUAAAGUGGUACGCGAGCUGGGUUUAGAACGUCGUGAGACAGUUCGGUCCCUAUCUGCCGUGGGCGCUGGAGAAUUGAGGGGGGCUGCUCCUAGUACGAGAGGACCGGAGUGGACGCAUCACUGGUGUUCGGGUUGUCAUGCCAAUGGCACUGCCCGGUAGCUAAAUGCGGAAGAGAUAAGUGCUGAAAGCAUCUAAGCACGAAACUUGCCCCGAGAUGAGUUCUCCCUGAGACUUUAAGUCUCCUGAAGGAACGUUGAAGACGACGACGUUGAUAGGCCGGGUGUGUAAGCGCAGCGAUGCGUUGAGCUAACCGGUACUAAUGAACCGUGAGGCUUAACCUU
Molecule: ribosomal RNA, 1310 nt
Filed under: Klebsiella quasipneumoniae
Lineage: Bacteria; Pseudomonadati; Pseudomonadota; Gammaproteobacteria; Enterobacterales; Enterobacteriaceae
Description: bacterial LSU rRNA
Rfam family: Bacterial large subunit ribosomal RNA
Source: RNAcentral